AUACGGAGGGUGCAAGCGUUAUUCGGAAUCACUGGGCGUAAAGGACGCGUAGGCGGGUUGGCAAGUCAGAUGUGAAAUCCUACAGCUUAACUGUAGAACUGCAUUUGAAACUGCUAACCUAGAGUAUGGGAGGGGGAGAUGGAAUUAGUGGUGUAGGGGUAAAAUCCGUAGAUAUCACUAGGAAUACCGAAAGCGAAGGCGAUCUCCUGGAACAUAACUGACGCUAAGGCGUGAAAGCGUGGGGAGCUAACAGGAUUAGAUACCCUAGUAGUCC
RNAcentral lists this ribosomal RNA (274 nucleotides) under uncultured bacterium. RNAcentral's name for it is "partial 16S ribosomal RNA". It matches the Rfam family "Bacterial small subunit ribosomal RNA", at positions 523 to 796 of the family's 1533-position model. The record is from RNAcentral.